This is a long non-coding RNA of Sinocyclocheilus grahami, 387 nucleotides long. RefSeq lists it as uncharacterized. NCBI's taxonomy places the organism in Eukaryota, Metazoa, Chordata, Actinopteri, Cypriniformes, Cyprinidae. The record is from RefSeq and is a predicted model, not a curated record. The transcript is spliced from 3 exons.
AACAGGUCUCCUUUAACACGCAAGCUGUUGCAUUAGUCUUAUAGCUUUAUAGCAGUGUUUUAAUGUCGGGUUCGGGUCAGGAUAACACGUGACCUACCUGAGCUCGACAGGACAGGUAUGUUCACAUAGUUUCGCUCGAGUGAAUGCUGAAAGAGGCGCGAUCGAGACUCAGUUACCUGCCGCGCGACUGCAAACCAGUCUCUGCGCACAUUCAGCGGUUUAUUUAUUUCUAACAGCAAGUUUGAUACGUGGUUUAUUUCGUCCGCACGUUUCCAGUAAGCCUCACAGCCGAAAUGGAUGGCGAUUCGCUGUUUGGUGUCUCGGGUCUGAUCAUGGAGAACGGGAUCCGCAGCACCUCCUGGAAUCCUUUCUGUUCAAACCCACAGG